AUUGAACGCUGGCGGUAUGCUUAACACAUGCAAGUCGAACGGUAACAGGUCUAGCUUGCUAGACGCUGACGAGUGGCGGACGGGUGAGUAACGCGUAGGGAUCUGUCUAGAAGUUUGGGACAACACGGGGAAACUCGUGCUAAUACCGGAUACGCUCUACGGAGGAAAGACUGGAUUUAUUCAGUUGCUUUUGGGUGAACCUGCGUUGGAUUAGCUUGUUGGUGGGGUAAAGGCCUACCAAGGCGACGAUCCAUAGCUGUUCUGAGAGGAAGAUCAGCCACACUGGGACUGAGACACGGCCCAGACUCCUACGGGAGGCAGCAGUGGGGAAUAUUGGACAAUGGGCGCAAGCCUGAUCCAGCAAUACCGCGUGUGUGAAGAAGGCCUGAGGGUUGUAAAGCACUUUCAGCGAGGAGGAAGGUGAUGAUGUUAAUAGCAUUGUUAUUUGACGUUACUCGCAGAAGAAGCACCGG
This 473-nucleotide ribosomal RNA is filed under the name uncultured bacterium. RNAcentral describes it as "bacterial SSU rRNA". It matches the Rfam family "Bacterial small subunit ribosomal RNA", at positions 30 to 496 of the family's 1533-position model. The record is from RNAcentral.